RNAcentral lists this ribosomal RNA (500 nucleotides) under uncultured bacterium. RNAcentral describes it as "partial 16S ribosomal RNA". It matches the Rfam family "Bacterial small subunit ribosomal RNA", at positions 30 to 523 of the family's 1533-position model. The record is from RNAcentral.
AUUGAGCGCUGGCGGCAUGCCUUACACAUGCAAGUCGAACGGUAACGCGGGGGCAACCCUGGCGACGAGUGGCGAACGGGUGAGUAAUACAUCGGAACAUAUCCAGUAGCGGGGGAUAACCUAUCGAAAGAUUGGCUAAUACCGCAUACGAUCUACGGAUGAAAGCGGGGGACCGCAAGGCCUCGCACCAUUGGAGUGGCCGAGGUCAGAUUAGCUAGUUGGUGGGGUAAAAGCCGACCAAGGCGACGAUCUGUAGCUGGUCUGAGAGGACGAUCAGCCACACUGGAGCUGAGACACGGUCCAGACUCCUACGGGAGGCAGCAGUGGGGAAUUUUGGACAAUGGGCGCAAGCCUGAUCCAGCCAUGCCGCGUGAGUGAAGAAGGCCUUCGGGUUGUAAAGCUCUUUCGGUGAAGACGAAACGGUUAGUGUUAAUAACACUGACUAAUGACGGUACUCACAGAAGAAGCACCGGCUAACUACGUGCCAGCAGCCGCCGUAA